UACGUAGGGGGCAAGCGUUGUCCGGAUUUAUUGGGCGUAAAGAGCGUGUAGGCGGCCUGACAGGUCUGCUGUGAAAACUCGAGGCUCAACCUCGAGACGUCGGCGGAAACCAUCUGGCUAGAGUCCGGAAGAGGAGAGUGGAAUUCCUGGUGUAGCGGUGAAAUGCGCAGAUAUCAGGAAGAACACCCGUGGCGAAGGCGGCUCUCUGGGACGGUACUGACGCUGAGACGCGAAAGCGUGGGGAGCGAACAGG
RNAcentral lists this ribosomal RNA (253 nucleotides) under uncultured bacterium. RNAcentral describes it as "partial 16S ribosomal RNA". It matches the Rfam family "Bacterial small subunit ribosomal RNA", at positions 524 to 776 of the family's 1533-position model. The record is from RNAcentral.